GCCAGGGUGAGUCAGGCUGGUGCCUGGACAUGGCUUCAGUCCAUGGGGCAUGGGGACAUGCAGGGGCUCGAUUCCCCCUCUCUGGC
Molecule: transfer RNA, 86 nt
Rfam family: Selenocysteine transfer RNA
Source: Rfam